CCUACGGGUGGCAGCAGUGGGGAAUAUUGGUCAAUGGGCGUAAGCCUGAACCAGCCAAGUCGCGUGAGUGAUGAAGGUUCUAUGGAUCGUAAACAUCUUUUAUAAGGGAAUAAAGUGUGGGACGUGUCCUAUUUUGUAUGUACCUUAUGAAUAAGGAUCGGCUAACUCCGUGCCAGCAGCCGCGGUAAUACGGAGGAUCCGAGCGUUAUCCGGAUUUGUUGGGUUUAGAGGGUGCGUAGGCGGUUUGUUAAGUCAGCGGUGAAAGUCUGUGGCUCAACCAUAGAAUUGCCGUUGAAACUGGGAGGCUUGAGUAUGGUAGAGGUGGGCGGAAUGCGUGGUGUAGCGGUGAAAUGCUUAGAGAUCAGGAAGAACCCCGAUUGCGAAGGCAGCCUGCCAAGCCAUGACUGACGCUGAUGCACGAAAGCGUGGGGAUCAAACAGGAUUAGAUACCCGGGUAGUC
Molecule: ribosomal RNA, 460 nt
Filed under: uncultured bacterium
Lineage: Bacteria
Description: partial 16S ribosomal RNA
Rfam family: Bacterial small subunit ribosomal RNA
Source: RNAcentral